UACGUAGGGGGCAAGCGUUGUCCGGAAUUAUUGGGCGUAAAGGGCGCGUAGGCGGCCUUUCAAGUGACGGGUGAAAUCCCUCGGCUUAACCGAGGAACUGCCUGUCAGACUGGAAGGCUUGAGACCGGGAGAGGUGAGUGGAAUUCCCAGUGUAGCGGUGAAAUGCGUAGAUAUUGGGAGGAACACCAGUGGCGAAGGCGGCUCACUGGACCGGUACUGACGCUGAGGCGCGAAAGCGUGGGGAGCAAACAGG
Molecule: ribosomal RNA, 253 nt
Filed under: uncultured bacterium
Lineage: Bacteria
Description: partial 16S ribosomal RNA
Rfam family: Bacterial small subunit ribosomal RNA
Source: RNAcentral